AUUGAACGCUGGCGGCAGGCCUAACACAUGCAAGUCGAGCGGAUGAAGGGAGCUUGCUCCUGUAUUCAGCGGCGGACGGGUGAGUAAUGCCUAGGAAUCUGCCUGGUAGUGGGGGAUAACGUCCGGAAACGGGCGCUAAUACCGCAUCCGUCCUGAGGGAGAAAGUGGGGGAUCUUCGUACCUCACGCUAUCAGAUGAGCCUAGGUCGGAUUAGCUAGUUGGUGGGGUAAAGGCCUACCAAGGCGACGAUCCGUAACUGGUCUGAGAGGAUGAUCAGUCACACUGGAACUGAGACACGGUCCAGAAUCCUACGGGAGGAAGAAGUGGGGAAUAUUGGACAAUGGGCGAAAGCCUGAUCCAGACAUGCCGCGUGUGUGAAGAAGGUCUUCGGAUUGUAAAGAACUUUAAGUUGGGAGGAAGGGCAGUAAGUUAAUACCUUGCUGUUUUGACGUUACAAACAGAAUAAGCACCGGCUAACUUAGUG
This 484-nucleotide ribosomal RNA is filed under the name uncultured bacterium. Its description in RNAcentral is "partial 16S ribosomal RNA". It matches the Rfam family "Bacterial small subunit ribosomal RNA", at positions 30 to 507 of the family's 1533-position model. The record is from RNAcentral.